RNAcentral lists this long non-coding RNA (623 nucleotides) under Gallus gallus (chicken). Lineage: Eukaryota; Metazoa; Chordata; Aves; Galliformes; Phasianidae. The record is from RNAcentral.
GGGGUGUGCCCGCGCCUCACACAAAGGCGGCGGUUGGGCGGGAGGCGCAUGCGCAGGGAGGGGUUGGCGCACCCACGUGGUGCUGGGUGAGGUGCAUGUUGUGGUUCUGCUCCUGACACAGCUCUUUUGCCAUGCAGGAAGCCUCUGAGGAAGUUGCCCUGCAGCUAACUGAAAAACAUGGCUUCAAUGUGAGAAGUAACUGAAGCACACAUUGGCAGUGGGUGGCAGAAGGGCCCAAGGUUUCAAAAGCAAACUGCAUGGGACCGCUGAAGAAACAGUCCAUUGAAAACCCACCUCAUGUAAGUUUUAGGCAAAGGUGGUCUCCAGCCCUUUCAAGCAGAAUUUCAAGUUGCUGAGCUCAUCCUCCAGCACCACUUGGUACUACUCAGGGUAGCACUUCCAUUGCCAGGAUCCAGCUCAGUAGAACAGUCCAUCUUUGCUCUCAUCAUUUGGCCCAAGCACACCUCAGCACCCAGCAAGUUCCCUCAUUCCUACUGAAGAGAUGGGAAUCCAGUGUUCAUCCUGAGUACCCUGCUACACCUUCUGCUUCCGUUUCCAUUUGCAAGAAGUGUUUGCUGCUUCUGUGGAAUUUAUUAAAGAUUUCUUUAAUAAAACUACUGUUG